UUGGAAACGACUGCUAAGACUGGAUAGGAGACAAGAAGGCAUCUUCUUGUUUUUAAAAGACCUAGCAAUAGGUAUGCUUAGGGAGGAGCUUGCGUCACAUUAGUUAGUUGGUGGGGUAAAGGCCUACCAAGACUAUGAUGUGUAGCCGGGCUGAGAGGUUGAACGGCCACAUUGGGACUGAGACACGGCCCAAACUCCUACGGGAGGCAGCAGUAGGGAAUUUUCGGCAAUGGAGGAAACUCUGACCGAGCAACGCCGCGUGAACGAUGAAGUAUUUCGGUACGUAAAGUUCUUUUAUUAGGGAAGAAUAAAUGAUGGAAAAAUCAUUCUGACGGUACCUAAUGAAUAAGCCCCGGCUAACUAUGUGCCAGCAGCCGCGGUAAUACAUAGGGGGCAAGCGUUAUCCGGAAAUAUUGGGCGUAAAGGGUGCGUAGGCGGUUAAAUAAGUUUAUGGUCUAAGUGCAAUGCUCAACAUUGUGAUGCUAUAAAAACUGUUUAGCUAGAGUAAGAUAGAGGCAAGUGGAAUUCCAUGUGUAGUGGUAAAAUGCGUAAAUAUAUGGAGGAACACCAGUAGCGAAGGCGGCUUGCUGGGUCUUUACUGACGCUGAGGCACGAAAGCGUGGGGAGCAAACAGGAUUAGAUACCCUGGUAGUCCACGCCGUAAACGAUGAGUACUAAACGUUGGGUAAAACCAGUGUUGAAGUUAACACAUUAAGUACUCCGCCUGAGUAGUACGUACGCAAGUAUGAAACUUAAAGGAAUUGACGGGACUCCGCACAAGCGGUGGAUCAUGUUGUUUAAUUCGAAGGUACCCGAAAAACCUCACCAGGUCUUGACAUGCUUCUGCAAAGCUGUAAAAACACAGUGGAGGUUAUCAGUUGCACAGGUGGUGCAUGGUUGUCGUCAGCUCGUGUCGUGAGAUGUUGGGUUAAGUCCCGCAACGAGCGCAACCCUUAUUGUUAGUUACCAGCACGUAAUGGUGGGGACUUUAGCAAGACUGCCAGUGAUAAAUUGGAGGAAGGUGGGGACGACGUCAAAUCAUCAUGCCCCUUAUGACCUGGGCUACAAACGUGAUACAAUGGCUGUUACAAAGGGUAGCUGAAGCGCAAGUUUUUGGCGAAUCUCAAAAAAACAGUCUCAGUUCGGAUUGAAGUCUGCAACUCGACUUCAUGAAGUUGGAAUCGCUAGUAAUCGCGAAUCAGCAUGUCGCGGUGAAUACGUUCUCGGGGUUUGUACACACCG
This 1242-nucleotide ribosomal RNA is filed under the name Candidatus Phytoplasma asteris. RNAcentral's name for it is "bacterial SSU rRNA". It matches the Rfam family "Bacterial small subunit ribosomal RNA", at positions 150 to 1392 of the family's 1533-position model. Lineage: Bacteria; Bacillati; Mycoplasmatota; Mollicutes; Acholeplasmatales; Acholeplasmataceae. The record is from RNAcentral.